CCUACGUGAGGCAGCAGUGGGGGAUAUUGCACAAUGGGGGAAACCCUGAUGCAGCGACGCCGCGUGAGGGAAGAAGGAUUUCGGUAUGUAAAGCUCUAUCAGCAGGGAAGAAAAUGACAGUAUCUGACCAAGAAGCCCCGGCUAACUACGUGCCAGCAGCCGCGGUAAUACGUAGGGGACAAGCGUUAUCCGGAUUUACUGGGGGUAAAGGGAGCGUAGACGGGUAUGUAAGUCAGGUGUGAAAGCCCGGGGCCCAACCCCGGGACUGCAUUUGAAACUGUGUAACUGGAGUACAGGAGGGGUAGGCGGCAUUCCUGGUGUAGCGGUGAAAUGCGUAGAUAUCAGGAGGAACACCGGCGGCGAAGGCGGCCUGCUGGACUGUAACGGACGUUGAGGCUCGAAAGCGUGGGGAGCAAACAGGAUUAGAUACCCGGGUAGUC
RNAcentral lists this ribosomal RNA (440 nucleotides) under uncultured bacterium. RNAcentral describes it as "partial 16S ribosomal RNA". It matches the Rfam family "Bacterial small subunit ribosomal RNA", at positions 338 to 795 of the family's 1533-position model. The record is from RNAcentral.